RNAcentral lists this ribosomal RNA (986 nucleotides) under Escherichia coli. RNAcentral's name for it is "partial 23S ribosomal RNA". It matches the Rfam family "Bacterial large subunit ribosomal RNA", at positions 526 to 1516 of the family's 2925-position model. The record is from RNAcentral. Lineage: Bacteria; Pseudomonadati; Pseudomonadota; Gammaproteobacteria; Enterobacterales; Enterobacteriaceae.
CCGGCGAGGGGAGUGAAAAAGAACCUGAAACCGUGUACGUACAAGCAGUGGGAGCACGCUUAGGCGUGUGACUGCGUACCUUUUGUAUAAUGGGUCAGCGACUUAUAUUCUGUAGCAAGGUUAACCGAAUAGGGGAGCCGAAGGGAAACCGAGUCUUAACUGGGCGUUAAGUUGCAGGGUAUAGACCCGAAACCCGGUGAUCUAGCCAUGGGCAGGUUGAAGGUUGGGUAACACUAACUGGAGGACCGAACCGACUAAUGUUGAAAAAUUAGCGGAUGACUUGUGGCUGGGGGUGAAAGGCCAAUCAAACCGGGAGAUAGCUGGUUCUCCCCGAAAGCUAUUUAGGUAGCGCCUCGUGAAUUCAUCUCCGGGGGUAGAGCACUGUUUCGGCAAGGGGGUCAUCCCGACUUACCAACCCGAUGCAAACUGCGAAUACCGGAGAAUGUUAUCACGGGAGACACACGGCGGGUGCUAACGUCCGUCGUGAAGAGGGAAACAACCCAGACCGCCAGCUAAGGUCCCAAAGUCAUGGUUAAGUGGGAAACGAUGUGGGAAGGCCCAGACAGCCAGGAUGUUGGCUUAGAAGCAGCCAUCAUUUAAAGAAAGCGUAAUAGCUCACUGGUCGAGUCGGCCUGCGCGGAAGAUGUAACGGGGCUAAACCAUGCACCGAAGCUGCGGCAGCGACGCUUAUGCGUUGUUGGGUAGGGGAGCGUUCUGUAAGCCUGUGAAGGUGUGCUGUGAGGCAUGCUGGAGGUAUCAGAAGUGCGAAUGCUGACAUAAGUAACGAUAAAGCGGGUGAAAAGCCCGCUCGCCGGAAGACCAAGGGUUCCUGUCCAACGUUAAUCGGGGCAGGGUGAGUCGACCCCUAAGGCGAGGCCGAAAGGCGUAGUCGAUGGGAAACAGGUUAAUAUUCCUGUACUUGGUGUUACUGCGAAGGGGGGACGGAGAAGGCUAUGUUGGCCGGGCGACGGUUGUCCCGGUUUAAG